Molecule: non-coding RNA, 73 nt
Organism: Henosepilachna vigintioctopunctata
Lineage: Eukaryota; Metazoa; Arthropoda; Insecta; Coleoptera; Coccinellidae
Source: the annotation of a GenBank genome assembly
GCUCCCGUAGCUUAGUCGGGAAAACACUCGGCUAUGGUGAGGUAGGAUUCGGGUUCGAGUCCCGGUGAAGGCA